This 253-nucleotide ribosomal RNA is filed under the name uncultured bacterium. Its description in RNAcentral is "partial 16S ribosomal RNA". It matches the Rfam family "Bacterial small subunit ribosomal RNA", at positions 524 to 776 of the family's 1533-position model. The record is from RNAcentral.
UACGGGGGGGGCAAGCGUUGUUCGGAAUUACUGGGCGUAAAGGGCUCGUAGGCGGCCAACUAAGUCGGACGUGAAAUCCCCAGGCUCAACCUGGGAACUGCGUCCGAUACUGGAUGGCUUGAAUUCGGGAGAGGGAUGCAGAAUUCCAGGUGUAGCGGUGAAAUGCGUAGAUAUCUGGAGGAAUACCGGUGGCGAAGGCGGCCCCCUGGGCCGCGCCUGACGCUGAGACGCGAAAGCGCGGGGAGCGAACGGG